This is a long non-coding RNA of Neofelis nebulosa (Clouded leopard), 587 nucleotides long. RefSeq lists it as uncharacterized. NCBI's taxonomy places the organism in Eukaryota, Metazoa, Chordata, Mammalia, Carnivora, Felidae. The record is from RefSeq and is a predicted model, not a curated record. The transcript has 3 exons.
AUGACCCGAGCCGAAGUCGGCCGCUUAACCGACUGAGCCACCCAGGCGCCCCAAGAGAGAGAGAAUCUUAAGCAGGCUCCAUGCUCAGCGAGGAACCAGAUCCACAACCCUGGGCUGAUGACCUGCGCUGAAAUCAAGAGUCGGAUGCUCGACCAACUGAGCCACCCAGGUGCCUCUCACAGCACCUUUUUGGAUGAAAUGAUUAAGGCAAAGGAACCCAAAGUAUACCCACACUGCUCUGCAUCACCCUAGGCCGCUAACUUCACGAGGACAUGUACCACCCCUGCUUUAGUCCGUCAUUAUGAUGCCAGCACCUGUCACGAUGCCUGACAUGCUCUCUCAAACUUUCCGUCCUACGAAUGGUGCCAAUAUGCCCCUGAGCUCAAAAUUUUGGCAUCAACAUUGACAGUUUCCUCCGUUCGGCCCUUCAAAUGGAGCCAGCCAUCCAGGCUUCUCAAGUGCACCUUCAAACUCUCCUAGGAUGAUUUCUUUCCAUUCCUGCUUUGCCUUUGGGUCGUUACAUAGUUGGAUACCUGGGCCUAAAUUCCCCUUCCCUUCAAUGGCUCUAAACUACCCACUGCAAUGAU